GGGCGCUGAUGUGCCUCUGCACGCGACUAGGGCGCAGCGACACUCUCCUUGUGCGCUCGCUCCCGCAUCCGGCUCGCUCUUCUGCCAUCUCUUCCUCCUCCUUCUCGUUCUCCCUUCGCCUCCGCUCCGUCUCCGCCCGAAGGCCGCAGUGAGACCUCCCCCCGCGCCAGAUUCACUCUCGGGACUACCCUGAGACCUUGCUCCGAUGAGCUCGAGACCUGCGGCCUCGGAUCCGGGGGGAGACAGCGGGCGAGGCGGGCUGAAGCAGGACUUGCGGCCUGAGGCUGUGGAUGCUGCCAGGGCGAGCUCGGGACCCGCGGGGGAUUCUGAUGUGGCGAUGGCGGAAGCCUCGGAGGAGGUUGUCGCUGGGGUGAAGGUGGAGGGUGCUGCGGUGGCGAGGCGUGUUGGCGCGCUGACCGCGGGCGUUGUUCUAGAUGCGGCAGCAGCGACUGAUCCACUCUAUGCGACAGAGUCGGCUGGCAUGGUUAUUUCGGAAGGAUGUGGAGAUGAAUCCAUUGGCGAGGCGCAAGGGCGUGAUGGAGAAACAGAAGCUAGAGCUUCGACGGGCGAGCCUGAGCGGAAGCCGGUUGCAUCUGGAGAUGUUGCUGUUACUGGUGAAGUGGUGGUACCGCCUGGUUCUGCCGCUACUGAACAUGCUGGAGCCGCAUCCAGCGAACUUGAAGAAAACCAUGUCAAUGCAAGCCAUACAGUCGGUAAUACUGGAAAUGAUAAUGGUGAAGCACAUUUUGAUGAAGAAACACAGAAUGGUCCAGCAAAUUCUGCUCAGUGUGCUAGAUACUGCCUUCCUCUUCCUGUUAAAGAUGGUUUUCAAGUUUCUGAUCUUGUCUGGGGUAAAGUGAAAAGUCAUCCUUGGUGGCCUGGUGAGAUUUUUGAUCAUUCAGAUGCAUCUGAAUUGGCACUGAAGCACCAGAAAAAGGGUAAUCGUCUGGUUGCGUAUUUUGGUGACAGCAGUUUUGCAUGGUGUGAUGAAUCCCAGUUGAAGCCUUUUGUAACAAACUAUUCACAAAUGGAAAAACAGAGUAGUUCUGAUGCCUUUGUCAGUUCAGUUAAUUAUGCGCUAGAAGAACUCUCAAGACGGAUUUUGUCAGGGAUGAGCUGUGCUUGUUUGCCAGAAGAGCUAUCUGACAAUGGAAUGUCAUAUAUGGUUGAGAAUGCUGGGCUCAAGGAUGGAGUUACUUGCUCAGCAGUUAACCGGUCUGAGAUCUUAGCAUGUUUUAGUCCAGCAAGCCUUCUUCAUUAUGUUAGGUCGUUAGCUCUGUUCCCUGGCCAAGGGGGUGAUCUGCUAGAGCUAGUGAUAGCUUGUUCUCAACUUACAUCUUUCUAUCGAUCUAAGGGAUGCCCUGAACUGGCAUCAUUCCAAACUGGCAGUGCAUGGGCCGAGAAUGACAUGGACACUUCUCCCACAAAGAAUGUAAUCGUUGAGGAAGUUGUCGCUAGUGAAGUGCUUCCUAGCAAUGACAAGCCCAAAAGAGGCAGGGGGAGACCUCGUAAGCAGAAGCCUGAGGAUAACCGAGAGUUGACGGGAAAAAAGCCUGCCUCCAGUCUGUCCAAUAAUACCGCUUAUGGUGCUCCCAUGGAAAGACGGGUGGUUAGGGAUGAUUUUGAUGACUUAUCAAAUAAGAAGAAAAGAAGUCUUGACUUGUUUGAUGAUGCAGAGACCAAGUCAUCAACUCCAGCUUUUGGUGGUUCUUUCAAGAUUGGGGAGUGCAUUCGGCGAGCUGCAAGCCAGCUGACAGGAUCUUCAUCAAUUGUGAAGUCUCAGAAUGAACUAACAGUUUAUAAGAACCCCGCAGAAGCAGAUAAUGCAGAAUUUGAUGUCUCCAGUGAUGACGACGAUAAUGAAAUUACCGUGGAGAAGCGCGCAAAGAGGAGACGCAUGCACAAGCAUCACACUGCGGAUCCAAUGGAGUUAUUCUCGCAGCUCUGUUCCGUUGCCACAGAGCCAAUGGACAGAUAUAAUUUUUCAGCAAUGAUCAUCAGUUACUUCAGUGAUUACAGGAACUAUGUUGUUUCCACUACUACGGAAGCAAACAUUAUCGAAAAAAGUACAGCAAAGAGGGGGAGAAAGAGGAGGGUUUUACCUUCUCCUGAGCUAGAGACUACUGAUCAUAUGCAGGACUCCUACUGGUCUGGUUUGAGUUUGCAUAACCAUCCGAUUCAUAGCCUUAAAGGAACUGGUACCAACACGAGGCCAAGGCGUAGGCGCAGAUCAUCACAAGAAACAGAUGGGCCCACUGUAGAGCAUCUGGAAGCAUUGACUCCUAAGAAACAGAUACAAGUGAUAGAAAGAUCAAUUAUCCAUGUCGAUGAAAAGAUGGUUGACGAGUGGAAGCCCACUGCACUUGUUUUAAGCUUUGGCAAGUCGAUUGAUCUUCCAUCAGAAACUGAUCUGAUCAAGAAAUUCGGUCGCUAUGGUCCGCUCAAAGAAUCUGAAACUGAAGUGCACAAAAGCACAAAUACUGUUAAAAUUGUCUUCAAGAAGCGUGCUGAUGCUGAAAGGGCGUUUACUGUUGCUGGGAAGUAUGGUACUUUUGGUCCUUCGCUUCGUAGCUAUCGUCUUGUGAAUAUGCCGUUUUCUCUAGGCUCAUCAGAAGCCAAUAAUAGUGAGGCUUGCGUUCGGGAUGAAGUGCCACUUAAAGAUCAAUCAGAGAUUGUACUGUCUGGAGCUGCAACUGGAGCUGUUCAGGUAGUUGGUGCGACUGAGCAGGCCAAGAAAGAACUUCCAAAUGAGGGUACAAAGUAUGUAACUGAGGCUAAUACUGAGAAUAAAGUUCCAGAAGAGACCGUUGUACCUAUGGAGUCGCAAGCUCAAAGUUGUACUGAAAAAACAGUGGGACAAGAUGCAACUGAGCAGACCAUGGAAUUUCAAGCUCCAAACGAAGCAUCAGCUGAAAUUCCUUCUGAUGUGAAGUUGGAAGUUAAUGCUUUUACUGAAAAAUUAGUAGGUCAAGUUGCAACUGAGCAAGCCAAACUUCCGGUUAAGGAAUCAGCUGCAGUUCUGUCUGAUCCUGCAUGUGCUGACACUCCAGAAGUUCAAGGAUCUGAGGUGCGACCAGAAGCUGUGCAUUUUCAAGCUGCAUGCAAAACAUUGGUAGAACAAGUGAGCACAAAAGCUGACACGGCUGAAGUACUAACCAAAGCAUCAGUGCAAGAAUCUGGGCCAAAUAAGGAAAUUGUGGAAUCCAACACUGCCGUUGAAGUGGCACACAAACAAGUCUGCUGUGUUGAGAAAACUGUUCAAGCAGGGGAUGGAACUGACGCAGCAAUUGAACCGAUUGAUGUGGGGAAACAAACUGCUGAAGAUAUAGCUAUGGCUGAAGUAAUGGUUAAGGGAGCUGUGGAGUCAAAAGGUGAAGCACCAGCUGAGGAAACUGUGGACGACAAAACUGCUACUGAAACUCAAGCUGGCGAGACCACCAAAGCUGAAACUACAACAGCUGAAAAAACUGCAGAUGAUGCCACUGUUGCAGUACCAGAUGAGAGAAAUACAGAAGCCAAGAACAUAAUAGAUAAUGCCACGGUUGAAGCAGCGGAUGAGACUGCUAAAUUUGCCAAGAAGACUGAAGAGGAUGGCAUAGUUGAAGCACUGGAUGAGAAAGCUACAGCAGUCGAAAGAACUGUAGACCCGGUUGAAGCACUGGAUGAGAAAGCUACAGCAAUCGAGGAUGACACGGUUGCAGCAGUAGAUGAGAAAGUUACAACAUCCGAGAAACCUUUAAAGGAUGCCAUGGUUGAAGCACCAUGUGAGAAAGCUACAGCAGAUGAAAACCCCGCAGAGGAUGCCACAGUUGAUGCACCAGAUCAGACAGCUACAACAGCCAAUAAUAUCGUAGAGGAUGCGAUGGUUGAUGCACGAGACGACAAAGCUACAGCAACCGAGAGAACCGUAGAGGAUGACACGGUUGCACCACUAGAUAAGAAAGUUACAACAACCGAGAAAUCCAUAAAGGAUGAGGCCCCAAGUGAGAAAGCUACGACGGAUGCCACAGUUGAUGCACCAGGUCAGACAGCUACAACAACAGUCAAUAAAAUAGUAGAGGAUGCCACGGCUGAAGCGCCGAAAGCUACUACAGCCGGGAAAACUGUAGUGGAUGCCACAGUUGAAGGGCCAGAUGACAAAGCUAUAGCAGCUGAUGAGGAGGCCAUGGCUGAGGCAGCUGAUGGACAAGACUGAACAAACCGGCUAGCUUUGUUCAAUUCUUGUUUCUAUUGAUAUUGAGAUCAUAUUCCGGGUGGAACUUUGUGGAAGACGAGAGUAAAUCUGAGAACAUUGUUUCUCAUCAUUGGAAAUCCUGGGGCUAGAUUUCCGUCUGAAGCUUUCUGGUUGGAGUUUACUGGUCACGAGGCUGGAUGAUGGCUGAGAAUGGAAGAAUGGAAAGGGCAGCCAGUUGGUAAAGUUAUCACUAGAUAGGAACUCACAUUUCUGCAGUCGGCAAAAUACACAGAUUUACCGCAACUGAUUGUGGCAUUCCACUAGUGAGAAGGAAUCAGAUUGACAAGAUAGCCAUGACAGAAGACUAUGCCUAUCAAACAUAUUUAAGAAAAAUCACCUGAGGUUGCAUAUAACCCAUUCCUUGGUUGUAAGCUACUUGUUGGCCCAU
Molecule: RNA transcript, 4622 nt
Organism: Brachypodium distachyon (stiff brome)
Lineage: Eukaryota; Viridiplantae; Streptophyta; Magnoliopsida; Poales; Poaceae
Exons: 5
Source: RefSeq, a predicted model, not a curated record